UAGGGAAUCUUCGGCAAUGGACGAAAGUCUGACCGAGCAACGCCGCGUGAGUGAAGAAGGUUUUCGGAUCGUAAAACUCUGUUGUUAGAGAAGAACAAGGACGUUAGUAACUGAACGUCCCCUGACGGUAUCUAACCAGAAAGCCACGGCUAACAACGUGCCAGCAGCCGCGGUAAUACGUAGGUGGCAAGCGUUGUCCGGAUUUAUUGGGCGUAAAGCGAGCGCAGGCGGUUUCUUAAGUCUGAUGUGAAAGCCCCCGGCUCAACCGGGGAGGGUCAUUGGAAACUGGGAGACUUGAGUGCAGAAGAGGAGAGUGGAAUUCCAUGUGUAGCGGUGAAAUGCGUAGAUAUAUGGAGGAACACCAGUGGCGAAGGCGGCUCUCUGGUCUGUAACUGACGCUGAGGCUCGAAAGCGUGGGGAGCAAACAGG
This 429-nucleotide ribosomal RNA is filed under the name Gemmatimonadota bacterium. Its description in RNAcentral is "Gemmatimonadetes bacterium partial 16S ribosomal RNA". It matches the Rfam family "Bacterial small subunit ribosomal RNA", at positions 355 to 776 of the family's 1533-position model. Lineage: Bacteria; Pseudomonadati; Gemmatimonadota. The record is from RNAcentral.